This 459-nucleotide ribosomal RNA is filed under the name uncultured bacterium. RNAcentral describes it as "partial 16S ribosomal RNA". It matches the Rfam family "Bacterial small subunit ribosomal RNA", at positions 338 to 795 of the family's 1533-position model. The record is from RNAcentral.
CCUACGGGAGGCAGCAGUGAGGAAUAUUGGUCAAUGGUCGGGAGACUGAACCAGCCAAGCCGCGUGAGGGAUGAAGGUACAGAGUAUCGUAAACCUCUUUUGUCAGGGAACAAAGGCGGGGACGUGUCCCCGGCUGAGUGUACCUGAAGAAAAAGCAUCGGCUAACUCCGUGCCAGCAGCCGCGGUAAUACGGAGGAUGUGAGCGUUAUCCGGAUUUAUUGGGUUUAAAGGGUGCGCAUGGGGUCUGUUAAGUCAGCGGUCAAAGCCCGGGGCUCAACCCCGGCCCGCCGUUGAAACUGGCAGUCUCGAGUUGGAGAGAGGUAUGCGGAAGGCGCGGUGUAGCGGUGAAAUGCAUAGAUAUCGCGCAGAACUCCGAUUGCGAAGGCAGCAUGCCGGCUCCACACUGACGCUGAGGCACGAAAGCGUGGGUAUCGAACAGGAUUAGAUACCCGAGUAGUC